RNAcentral lists this ribosomal RNA (440 nucleotides) under Micrococcus sp. oral taxon F54. RNAcentral's name for it is "bacterial SSU rRNA". It matches the Rfam family "Bacterial small subunit ribosomal RNA", at positions 28 to 465 of the family's 1533-position model. The record is from RNAcentral. Lineage: Bacteria; Bacillati; Actinomycetota; Actinomycetes; Micrococcales; Micrococcaceae.
GAUGAACGCUGGCGGCGUGCUUAACACAUGCAAGUCGAACGAUAAAGCCCAGCUUGCUGGGUGGAUUAGUGGCGAACGGGUGAGUAACACGUGAGUAACCUGCCCUUGACUCUGGGAUAAGCCCGGGAAACUGGGUCUAAUACCGGAUAGGAGCGCCUGUCGCAUGACGGGUGUUGGAAAGAUUUUUCGGCCAUGGAUGGACUCGCGGCCUAUCAGCUUGUUGGUGAGGUAAUGGUUCACCAAGGCGACGACGGGUAGCCGGCCUGAGAGGGUGACCGGCCACACUGGGACUGAGACACGGCCCAGACUCCUACGGGAGGCAGCAGUGGGGAAUAUUGCACAAUGGGCGGAAGCCUGAUGCAGCGACGCCGCGUGAGGGAUGACGGCCUUCGGGUUGUAAACCUCUUUUCAAGUAAGGGAAAGAAAGCGAAAAGGGAACC